This 325-nucleotide long non-coding RNA is filed under the name Suricata suricatta (meerkat). Its description in RNAcentral is "lncRNA (ENSSSUG00005011573.1)". The record is from RNAcentral. Lineage: Eukaryota; Metazoa; Chordata; Mammalia; Carnivora; Herpestidae.
UCAGCUUUCUUACUUAUUGUGAGGAUGGAACAAGGACUUCAAAGUUUCCAGUCCAUGUUGUACUGAAAACUGGAAGUUUCCUGUCAGAGUAUUUUAAACUGGCCUGGAACUUCUGUAGCCAUUUCAUCAGCUUUCCCAGAGGAUGAAACACAGACAUGAAGGAAGACAGAGCCAAGAUAACUACACAGAGGCGGGACUAGAGGGCAGAAAUAAUUUUUGACAGAGAAGGAAACAUCCAGGCCAUGGGGUGCUGGCUUGGAAUGCUGUCUUCUAGCAACAAAAUAUGAUAUGUAAGAGGUCUAGCUGAGUUUGAAUAUAAGCCAUU